CCCACCUGGAAGACUAGUGAUUUUGUUGUUUGGACCUUUGGAGAAACAAGAAGUCACUAGCUUCUGGUGGUGGGGC
Molecule: non-coding RNA, 76 nt
Organism: Cordylochernes scorpioides
Lineage: Eukaryota; Metazoa; Arthropoda; Arachnida; Pseudoscorpiones; Chernetidae
Source: the annotation of a GenBank genome assembly